This 87-nucleotide transfer RNA is filed under the name SAR324 cluster bacterium. RNAcentral describes it as "tRNA-Leu". It matches the Rfam family "tRNA". From Rfam's summary of the family: Transfer RNA (tRNA) molecules are approximately 80 nucleotides in length. Their secondary structure includes four short double-helical elements and three loops (D, anti-codon, and T loops). The record is from RNAcentral. Lineage: Bacteria; Deltaproteobacteria.
GCCCGGGUGGCGAAACUGGUAGACGCAAGGGACUUAAAAUCCCUCGGCCUAAUGGCUGUCCCGGUUCGACUCCGGGCCCGGGCACCA